AGGGUUAAGGAUCUCAAGGGCUUGGACUUCUCAGAGAUGAAGAUCUGGAUCACUCCAUCAGGCAAGCAACGAAGACCAGAUGAAAUGCUGCUUGAAGGGCUGGCAUAUCUAGAAUUGGUGGUAGAAAUAACAAAUAAAGAAACUGGAGCAGAAAAUCAGUCACAUUAAAUUUACCACCAUUCAAAAAGCCAAGACAUCAACCAUAGUCUUGGAUUCAUCUUUAACUGUUGGGUAAUACGGCACUGUCUGAACAUACUGUUACAAUAUAUUCCAUGGAUGUUGGAUCCACUGAUGAACAUUUGAGUUGUUUCCAAGCUUUUGUUAAGUGAAAAUUAGUGAUACAACAUUUCCGAACCUGUGUUUGAUUGUAUAAGUGCAAGAGACUCUCCUAGACAUUCCUAGAAAUAAAUUUUCUGUGUCAUAAAACAUGAGAAUAAUCAACUUAAAAAAUAAUGCCAAACUGUUUCAGUGAUAGAUAACUAACUCUCCAAUUGGUAAUAUAUAAGAGAUUCUACAGAUUUCCACUACGUCUAACACUUGGUAUUGUAAAAUCUUAAUGUUGCCAAUGUAACAAGAAUUAGACAGAAAAUUACAGUGGUUUUGAUGUUGAUGUCACUGAUUACAAUGAAGUUAUUAAUAAAUAUCUUUUUUUGUGUGGUGACCUAUGUAAAA
Molecule: long non-coding RNA, 672 nt
Filed under: Homo sapiens (human)
Lineage: Eukaryota; Metazoa; Chordata; Mammalia; Primates; Hominidae
Description: long intergenic non-protein coding RNA 1052
Source: RNAcentral